GUGCUUGAUUCGGCAGCACGUAUGCUAAAAUUGGAACGAUACAGAGAUUAGCAUGGCCCCUGCACAAGGAUAGUAUGCAAAUUCAUGAAGCGUUCCAUUAAAAA
This is a small nuclear RNA of Trichechus manatus latirostris (Florida manatee), 104 nucleotides long. The record is from RefSeq and is a predicted model, not a curated record. Lineage: Eukaryota; Metazoa; Chordata; Mammalia; Sirenia; Trichechidae.